Molecule: ribosomal RNA, 439 nt
Filed under: uncultured bacterium
Lineage: Bacteria
Description: partial 16S ribosomal RNA
Rfam family: Bacterial small subunit ribosomal RNA
Source: RNAcentral
CCUACGGGAGGCAGCAGUGGGGGAUAUUGCACAAUGGAGGAAACUCUGAUGCAGCGACGCCGCGUGAGGGAAGACGGUCUUCGGAUUGUAAACCUCUGUCUUUGGGGAAGAAAAUGACGGUACCCAAAGAGGAAGCUCCGGCUAACUACGUGCCAGCAGCCGCGGUAAUACGUAGGGAGCGAGCGUUGUCCGGAAUUACUGGGUGUAACGGGAGCGUAGGCGGGCGAGAAAGUUGAAUGUUAAAUCUACCGGCUUAACUGGUAGCUGCGUUCAAAACUUCUUGUCUUGAGUGAAGUAGAGGCAGGCGGAAUUCCUAGUGUAGCGGUGAAAUGCGUAGAUAUCAGGAGGAACACCGGCGGCGAAGGCGGCCUGCUGGACCGUAACUGACGUUGAGGCUCGAAAGCGUGGGGAGCAAACAGGAUUAGAUACCCCUGUAGUC